RNAcentral lists this ribosomal RNA (253 nucleotides) under uncultured bacterium. RNAcentral describes it as "partial 16S ribosomal RNA". It matches the Rfam family "Bacterial small subunit ribosomal RNA", at positions 524 to 776 of the family's 1533-position model. The record is from RNAcentral.
UACGGAGGGGGCUAGCGUUGUUCGGAAUUACUGGGCGUAAAGCGCGCGUAGGCGGACCUGCAAGUCGGGGGUGAAAGCCCGAGGCUCAACCUCGGAACUGCCUUCGAUACUGCGGGUCUCGAGUCCGGGAGAGGUGAGUGGAAUUCCUAGUGUAGAGGUGAAAUUCGUAGAUAUUCGCAAGAACACCAGUGGCGAAGGCGGCUCACUGGCCCGAUACUGACGCUGAGGUGUGAAAGCGUGGGGAGCAAACAGG